GUGAUUACACUGGUGAUUUGGUCUCUUUUGAAUCAUUGAACCAUAUUUCACAGUUUUCACAGUUUUAUCUUCUCACAGUCUCCUUUCAACUCUUCGAUUAAGCUGUAGCUGUCUGCGGUCUGCCUUGGUAAUGACAGCCACCCUGUUAUGAAGCGUCUGCUGUGGAACAGGCACAUGCUGAUGCUUUGCUUCAGGACGUCCCACUGCAGUUUUGCCCCACAGUUGGCCCUAUCUUCUUAUUAACUUGAGGAUGUUCUUCUGUUGAACUUCAUCCUCUUGGCUGAGGAAUCCUUUGGAUGAACACUGAGCCAAUGCAGUUGACUGUGAGGACAGGCUCACCCCAACAAGGCAGCGGGAGAAAGCGAGAUCGUACGGCGAGCCCCUCUUCUCCUUGUGCUGCCUCGGAGGUCUCAGGCGGAGGAAGUAAGAUGCUACGGCGAGCCCCUCUUUUCCCUGUGCUGCCUCGAAGGUCUCAGGCAGGAGGAAGUGAGAUCCUACGGGAAAGAAGAAACAGUGAAGAGCAGAGAAAGAGCUUGCCCAGCUUCUGAUUUUCAAAAACAAGCUGGUGUUUUCCUGUAAACAGAUUCAAGAGAGAUGUGACUAGCUGUGUUCUAGAGACUGUGAUCCUGAAUCUGGCAUCUUCAUCAGCUUCUGGGAUCAAAUGCUAUAAAACACCAGUAGAGAGCCAGUUCUAUCAGCUCUUAGCUGUGUGACCUUGGACAGGUCACUUAACAUCUUUGUGUCUCAGUCUCCUGCAUGAUAAGAUGAGGGUGGUGACUGUGCCCAACCUUGUGGGAUUGACGCGAGGACCCGAUCAGCAAAUUCACGACAAGCGUGCCUGGCGCAGGUAAACCCUGGGUGGAUAUUUGCUAUCACUAUCAUCAGUAGCAUUAUUGUAUUACUGAAGUCAGUGGUUUUUAAACUUUUUAAAAAUGGCAGAGCCUUUUCUUCAAAUGAAAUUGGAUGCAAAUGCCCAGGGCAUAACUGGAAUAGAGCACAGCUGCUUGAAUGGAAAUGGGGAGGAGGAGGUGCGUGAAUCACCCUUUCAGAAUAAAGUCCCUCAGUGCCCCCUCAUGAUAGCCCCGAGGGGGCUUCAAGGAACACUAUUAAAAAAUCUCUUCCAUGGAUACAAAUGAAAAAUGCCAGCAGACUGCUAAUAAAUGCCUGUUCCUUUUGAUAGAGACCCACCUCAUCAUUCUGACAUAUUAUACUAUGGCCACAACUUCAGAGGUCAUCGUUUCCAGGGGAUGCUGGGGAGGGAGAAUCCGAGAUGGAGAUGAAGUUUGGUGGGGGUGCCACUAGGAUCAGCACUGGGUGAUGGAGACAUUGGGCUGUGAUGAGGGCCCAACAGAGGCCCCAGCCCCCACCAUUAGGAGCUCUGCAGAUGGAUGACCUGUCAGAGCUGCCCCAGAUGGGGCAAGAGGGCUGGGCCUUUAGACCCAG
RNAcentral lists this long non-coding RNA (1443 nucleotides) under Homo sapiens (human). RNAcentral's name for it is "HSALNT0378791". Lineage: Eukaryota; Metazoa; Chordata; Mammalia; Primates; Hominidae. The record is from RNAcentral.